Monodelphis domestica (gray short-tailed opossum) is the source of this 4430-nucleotide non-coding RNA. The record is from RefSeq and is a predicted model, not a curated record. Lineage: Eukaryota; Metazoa; Chordata; Mammalia; Didelphimorphia; Didelphidae.
GGCCUGCAAAGCAGAGGACACGCCGGCUCAAAGGGAGAGGUGGGGAGGGGGCCCAGGGCUGGUGACCCCAAAGGCCUCUGGCGCUCGGCCCAUGGCGCCCCCUGGCGGCCUCUGCGGAGAACACAGACGAGGAUCCCACUGAAGCCGUGUGGGGAGCCCCCAGGGGACAGAGCUCAGGUCAGCCCCCAACAAGCCGGCUCCCUUGGGAAGGAGCGUGUGGCCCAUCACAGGAGGGGCUCGAGAGGAGGCUGGGGGCCAGGCAGAGGGGGAACUCUGCGGCCUGAGAUGGAAGAGGGGAGGGGAGCGGAGGCUGAGCCAGAGGACAAAGCCUCGGGCCUCUACUCUGCCUCUGAAGACUGAGUACCCGAGUCAAACUAGGAGGUGAACAGCAAGAGCCACUGGGCACCUGAGGGGACCGGCCGGGCUCUUGGGUCACCAGGGCCUCCCCACAGUCUGCCUGGGUGCCCGUCCCUUGUCCUCCCAACCCAGCCUGGCCCGCAGGCCUUUCCCCCUCCGUCCGUGUCCCCCAUCUGUCUGUGGUCCUGCAGCAGCCCCCGUGGCCACCGUACGUGACCAGGUCUGGCUGCGAAUCCUGGCAGGCCUUCAGGCCCCCAGAGCCGAGGCAGUGGUCCAGGAAGGCCUCCAAGGGCUUGGCCCUGCGUCCAGCCUGCCUCCUGACCCCUCCUCCCGAGGGAAGCACCGUCCCGGUGGGGGCUCCAGGACGCUGUUGCUGCGGAAGCCACCAGCUGCCCCUCGAGAAGCCGUCCACGGUCUCCUCAGCCCCCGGUGCUCAGGCCUCGGCUCUCUCCGUGACUUCAGCCGCGGCGUCCAACGGCUUUGCUGAGCCCUCGCCUUUGCGGAGCCCCGCCAGCCUGCGCCCUGCUAGUCCCUCCUCCUGCCUCUGAGCACUCCCCUCUCCUUGGCGUCCCUCAGGCCUGCCCCGGGCCUCUUCUCUUCCUCCUCACUGGGUGAUCCCACCAGCUCCGGAUCUCCCUGCUCCAUCCCAGCCCUUCCACGGAGUCCGUCCGAGCAUCCCCAUCACUGUUCUGGGCAUCCCCGGCCUCCCAGACCUGCUGGCUCCCGUCUGGGUCUCAUCUCGGCCUCCUCACGAUCUCUCCCAGGUCUGGCUACGACGCCCCCUCCUCAGGAGACUCCAGCGGCUGCCGUUUGUCCCAGAGCAGACGCAUGCUUAGACCGCAUCCCUGACCGUACUCCAGGGUCCUCGGGCCUCUCCUAUGAACAAGGCCCUCCAGAUUGCAGCACAGGGCAUUCUCUCCAGCCAUCCUUCAUGCCUGGAUGCUCCUCCUCUCCCAACUAGUGACACCCCCCCCCCCCACCGGAUGCCUUUAUGUCCCUGCUAAAAUGCCACCUCCUCCAGGAAGCCUUCCCCAAGUUCCCUUAAUUCCAACACUUCCCAUUUAUCCCAUCUAGCGCGUGUAAUAAAUGCUCACAGAUGACUGCAGCCCUUAUUCUCCCAAGGAGAAAUCUGAGGUGGGAUCAGACAUGGGGAAGGCCAGCCCCUGCGGGAGCAAUUCAUUCUAGCCACAUAUUCUAUGGUCCUGCCCCCCACAGGCACUCCUCCUGGCUGAGGACCCCCAUUUCUCCGGACUCGUGGCCACCCAUUCGAUGGCAAGCCACGGCACCCCUUCUCCAGCCUCCCCCAGGCCUGACGAAACACCUGCCAGAAGAGCAGAGGACGGAGCGGCCAGUCCCUCCAGCGCGCCUGGCCCGGAGGAAGCCUCCAGCCCCUACGCGGCCCUGAGGUCAGGUUCCACAUUUCCCUGGCAGGAGGCGAGCGGCGGGUGCCAACCUAAGUCUGUGGUUCGGGACGGAGGUCAUCGGAGGCCCCCUUUUCCGCAUGACGCUUCCACCGGACGACUGACUGUUCUCCGAAUUCUGCCCGCUUUGCUUUGCAGCGGGUUCGCAGUCUUCCCAGGCUCUUCUGAGCUGCCCACUUCCUCCUUUUCCAGGCCCAGUAAAGCUCCGGGACAUCCUCAGGCCGCGGAGGGCUGAGCCCUUCCUCCCUAGGUGGCAUGGCUUCGGGUCUCUGGCCACAAAGACGUCAGCAGACGGACCUCGUGGGCACAGACUGGGCAGCAUCGAGCACCUCUCAGUCACCGUCCCAAAUGGCUCUCCAGCCUGGUUGGCCCAAGUCAUCGCCCCAUCCAUGGAGCCUGUUUCCCCGAAGCCCCUCUGCCUAUCAUUUGGCAACUUCUGUUACUGUGGCUGGCCUGCACCCGCGGUCAGCUUCAUCCUUGCUCCAAUUUCCUUUUCUAAUUGUAUUCAUUGCUUUCACCAAGGGAUUUUGGAAUAGCUUUUUCAUGAGAUGGAUUUCUUCCUUUGCCAUCUGCUUGUUAACAGUCCUUGGACCACUUAACUCAUCCUCCCCCUCCACAGCGGCUCUUCCAAGGCUCCCUCUCCCCCACCCUCAAAGCUGGGAAUCUUGCCCCGUGUUUUACAGGGAAAAGGAGGCUGAUGGCCGAGAGCUCCCUCUUCUCUCCUCUUCCUCAGCUCUUCUCCCAUCCGAGGCAGAUGCCUUCUGCCCCUCUCCUCCUCCUCCUCCUCUCUCACUCCAACAGACUGACCUUCGGUUAUUCCUCCUUGAUUGCUUCUUUUCCAAUCUCUCCCUUGCCACUGACCCAUUUCCUUCUGCCUGUAUCUCCUUCCUGAACAAACUCGCAUUCGAUCCUUGCAUCCCUGCUAAUUGGGCCCAGGGGAGGCAGAGGUGCCCAGAUUAGUCAGCCUCGCUCUCUCUUCUUCCAGAGUCUUCGACAUCCAGGGGUGAGACGAGUCGGGUGUCUGCUGAUGGCCUGGCAUGCAGUGGAUGGCCGGGGCGUCCUUGGUGUCUGACCGAGCUGGAGGCGCUCCAUGGAGCCUCCUUCCGCCGCCUUCACAGCUACCGGAUCAGACUGUUCUUGAACCCUUCCACCCGGAGAGCCUUCACCCGCCCGGGGCAGACCCUCCCCAGCUCGCCAUGGGUCUGAGGCCUGUGCCUGGUGUAGGCCACCUACCAAGAUGGUCUUCCAGUGUGUGGCUGUUGUGCACCCCAAGGCUUCUGGAGCCACAGAUGCCGCCACGCCGAAGUACCACCUUCAACGGAGCCCUUCCUGAUCCCCCAAAGGCUGCUGGCGUUCUUUCUUGCGCCCUCUAGUCAUUGUGGCAUCAUUUCUUCUUACCAAAUGAUAAGCAAAAUAUCCAAGCCGCAAAGAAAGAGGUUCAUUACGGGACGGCUGGAGCCCCAGGCAUGACCAGAGGCCCCUGAGCACUGGGAGAGACCUUCUUCUGCCCCCAAAGAAUGUGGCGACUUCUAUACCAGCACAAAAAUAGUCCAGGUCAGUGAAGUCACCAGGAAACACGUCUCACGGGCAGAGGAAGGCUUUUGGUUACGAACGUGACGGGGCUGAUGAUGCCCAAGAGAAAAGGGGACAGCAGUGAGUGGUACCAGGUUCUGAGCCAAAGGCCAGGCAUCCUGACGGAGAACGGAUCCAAGUCAGGGGGCCUGACUGAGCCGCCGUGAAGCUUCCUGGCGUCUUCGUCUCAGGCCCCCGGGUCGGCUGGAUGUGGCGUCCUGCCCAAAGGCCCUUCUGGUUUCUAAAGGGACUGGUCACAUCAAACCAGGGAGGAAUCCUUACUCGGACCCAAUGAUGGGACUCGUGAGAAGACCCCUUUGGUGAACUCAGUGAAGAGAAACAUGCCAAGCCUUCAUCCUCCAGGAGGCGAUUAAAGAAGGAAUAAUUUUAGGAAAAUGAUCCUCUAGAGUGGGCCUAAAAUUAAAUGAGGAUCCUUUCCGUCUGAUGAAACAAACACUGCUUUCCCCCCAAACGCUGUACUCCUACUCGAUGCUGAGUGUGGAAUGUUGUGUUUUGUUUGGGAAUGCUGUAAGCUGAGGGUGGAAAUGGGCUGGAGCAGAGGUUUUCAAGGGAGGGCGGAGCCCCGUCUCUGGCCUUCUCUCUCCCAAAGAAGACCCAGGAGUCUUGGAGGCAGCUAAGAAUCUUGACACGCCAAGUCAAGCCGGAAGAAGCUCAAGAAGCACAAAUCGGGAUGUGGUUCAAAAAGUCAGCUCGAGAGAGAGGGGCUAGGAGAAGGAAGCUAAGCCUGAGCCCCACGCCGGGAGGAUCGUGCGGGCCUCUGCUGUGGGAACGAGGUGUCCGAAAACUGGCCGUAGGCGACAAAGGGAAGGAGGUGACCCGGACCGCGAGGACUCUUGCUCCACAACUCGGCCCACCACCUUCCCGCGCCUUCUGCAGGCUCCGCCCCCGUCGCCUUGGCGACGCGAGGACGCCAGGACCUGCGGAGGGUAGGAAAAGUGGGUUGGGUCUGCGCAACCGCUAUCCGUCUUACUCAUUCCCCCCCCACCCCCCAAGUCUUGAAGUGCCCGACUCCGCGCCGGGUAAAAACAAAUGAAUAAAUAACUUACUCUCUAUACGAAA